Molecule: transfer RNA, 77 nt
Filed under: Heliconius melpomene (postman butterfly)
Lineage: Eukaryota; Metazoa; Arthropoda; Insecta; Lepidoptera; Nymphalidae
Description: tRNA HMEL010452
Rfam family: tRNA
About the family: Transfer RNA (tRNA) molecules are approximately 80 nucleotides in length. Their secondary structure includes four short double-helical elements and three loops (D, anti-codon, and T loops).
Source: RNAcentral
GCAUCGGUGGUUCAGUGGUAGAAUGCUCGCCCGCCUGCCAGACACGGGCAGCCCGGGUUCAAUUCCCGGCCGAUGCA